Molecule: long non-coding RNA, 531 nt
Organism: Daphnia pulicaria
Lineage: Eukaryota; Metazoa; Arthropoda; Branchiopoda; Diplostraca; Daphniidae
Exons: 3
Source: RefSeq, a predicted model, not a curated record
CACUACAUAAUUAAAAAAAAAUACUGUUUGUAUUCAGGGAACUGUUUAUAUUUUUCAAACUCUUUUUCCCAAUCUUCUCGCGACAUCGGAGGUCUUUCACCAAACGCAGACCAUUCAACCAUCUAGAAAUGGGCUAUAAAAUAACUUAGAAAUAACAAUUGAUAAACCAUACCAAUCACCACUGCUCCAAAGCACAUGCCAGCACAUGUUCCAAGCCAUCGUCCAAUCCAUUUUGAUUGUUGUAUUGUUGGUACCUCAGCAGCAGUUGUUACAAAUCUGGUAAGUGGUUGAAAACUCUUAAGACAUUUAGAGAAUGCAGAGCAUUUCAAUUGAAUCCGACUAGGCUUAACUGCGGCCACAUAAUUUCGCUGGAUCGCGUUCUUUAGGCAAGAAUUGUUUGAAAAAUCUCAACUUACCAAAUUCUGAUUCUGAAUGAAUUUUGCUACGAUUAUCAUUGUUUGCUUUUAAUUAAAACCUAAAAGAACUAAUGAUUUUUUCCAAUUUUCAAGAUGUGAAAGACUGGAUUUCAAA